ACAGCUGAAGAACAUCCUGAUAUUUUAUUCCUCAAAGUGAAUUUUGAUGAAAACAAGCCCAUGUGCAAAAGUUUGAAUGUUAAAGUGCUUCCUUACUUCCACCUCUAUCGUGGUGCUCUUGGACAAUUGGAAUCCUUUUCAUGUUCGCUCGCUAAGUUUCAAAAAAUAAAAGAUGCCAUUGCAAUGCAUAGCACAGCCCAAUGCAGCAAUGAUCCACCGAAAGGAGUUGGAGAACUUACUCUUGAAUCUGUGUCAACUCCAACAGACAAGCCAGCAGGAUCAGCAUGAACAUAUUACUCUUGAUUUAAGCAUUUGUCUAUAUAACAUGAGUCAUGCUGUAUGUUGGUUGCCUAAUGAAACUCAGUUGUUAGGUUUCCACUGCUAUUCUGUAUAUUUUCACUCUUUUUUAGAAGAAUCUAAGCAAAAGUUGUCAUCCUACUUUCAUUCUUUGUCAUUCUUCUUCGGCCGGUGAUGUUUGUAACUUAAAAAACUCCAGUGGAAAUGAAAUUUCACGUCCUCAUUGCUUUUGUACU
Molecule: unclassified non-coding RNA, 533 nt
Filed under: Hevea brasiliensis (rubber tree)
Lineage: Eukaryota; Viridiplantae; Streptophyta; Magnoliopsida; Malpighiales; Euphorbiaceae
Source: RNAcentral